GAGGACGAACGCUGGCGGCGUGCCUAACACAUGCAAGUCGAGCGGGGACUUGCGACGGAUUGAAGUUUCGGAUGGAAAUGAAGAUGUAAAGUUCUAGCGGCGGACGGGUGAGUAACGCGUGAGCAACCUGUCCCUUACAGGGGGAUAACACAGCGAAAGUUGUACUAAUACCGCAUGAGACCACGGUGGGACAUCUCACAGGGGUCAAAGGAGCAAUCCGGUAAGGGGUGGGCUCGCGUCCGAUUAGAUAGUUGGUGAGGUAACGGCCCACCAAGUCGACGAUCGGUAGCCGACCUGAGAGGGUGAUCGGCCACAUUGGGACUGAGACACGGCCCAAACUCCUACGGGAGGCAGCAGUGGGGAAUAUUGGGCAAUGGGGGAAACCCUGACCCAGCAACGCCGCGUGAGGGAAGAAGGUUUUCGGAUCGUAAACCUCUGUCCUUGGUGAAGAGGAAGAGACGGUAGCCAAGGAGGAAGCCCCGGCUAACUACGUGCCAGCCGCAGC
RNAcentral lists this ribosomal RNA (505 nucleotides) under uncultured bacterium. Its description in RNAcentral is "bacterial SSU rRNA". It matches the Rfam family "Bacterial small subunit ribosomal RNA", at positions 26 to 518 of the family's 1533-position model. The record is from RNAcentral.